GCUGGGACUGCCAUGGGGAUGAUACCUCAACCCUUGGCUGGAGAGUGGGGGAAGGCAGGAUGGCUCAGUGGUCUUGGGCUUGGAUGUCCUGGGCCACUGGUGAUGGCAGAUGAAAGCCUUCUGUUUUCAGCUUGUUUUCCUGCUCUGAGAUGGGUACAGCUCUGCUUACCUUGCUGGUAAAGCACCUUGUGAAUCAGCUUUCACCAGGUGUAAAUCAACACUGUGUUUGUAGGGAUAACAGCAGCCCCAAGUCAGCAAGGACUCUUUGAACAUCUGCUUCUGGUCCUUAGGAUGUGUGCUGGGAGAGAAUCUUCUUUGGGAAAAUGAGAAGUGUCUCACACUGUAACACUUGUGUCUCAUCUCCUUCAGGGUUGUGGCAGCUCCCUUGCCUGGUCUUGGGUUAAUCCAGAACCUGGUGGGGAAGAGCCCAUCGAGGAGGCCUUCACCACACACCUGCUGAUGGCAGCAGCUCAGGUUCCAGCUUCUCCUGCUCCUGGGAGCCCACAUCCUCUGUGGUCACCUGCCUGCACCCUCUGUUAUCUCUCAUGCAUCUUCUAAUGAUGCCUUCCCUGGCCCUGACUCACCUGCUGAUAUGGAGACCCUCCCUGUCUGGCCACAUCCUCUCUCCCCCUACCAACAGAGCCACCAAGAAGGAAGGAGGAUUGGCAGCAAACGGUACUCCAGCACCCAUCAGCCAUGGGGGAGCUUGGAAAAUGUGCAUUUUUGUCAGGACACGGCAAUUUCAAUUUAACAAGAAAUUAUCAAGAAAUGCAGGUAUGCAUGGCAGGACAUGAAAGAUGGACAAGUUCAGUUGCAAGCAUUUAAGAGCAAAGGAAAUUAAGGGUGUGGGACCUGGGGCUGUGGUGGAUUCCUCAUCAUCUGGAGUCUUUAAUCAAGUUGUUUCUCCCUUUAUUUCGGGUGCAUUUAAUAGAGGCUUCUAAAACGUGUGCUGGGGCUUUAGUGAAUCGGUGGGCAUUGUCUGGGGAUUACAGGGUGGGGCUCUGUGGGCAGCAGGAGAGAAGACAUCAGAGGACACCAUCCCUCCUGGCCUUGGCUCAGCAAGCCUGUUCCUGCUCAUCUUGGGAAAGAUCCACCUGCAAACAUCGCCCCGGAAACCCUGGAUAAAUUAUUUGGGUGUGCUUGGAUGCAAAGAGAAGCGCCAAACCUCGUGGCAGCCCUGUCUGUGGCAGGGCUGUGACCACCCUGCGAGGGCACUGUCCCACUGAAGGGACUGGGGAGAAAACACACAUGAAAAAAGAAAAAAAAAAAAAAUCCAUCAAAAAAAGAUACAGAAUCCCAGAAUGGUUAGGGUUAAGAAAGGACCUUAAAGGUCCUCUAGUCCAACCCCCUGCCAUGGGCAGGGCUCCUUUCAUUAGACCAGGUUGCUCCAAACCCUGCCCAACCCAGGGAUUCUGUCUGGACAGACAAGAGUUUUGAGUUUUAAUAGAUUUUAAUCCAUUUGUAUGAAUGAAUGUCUCUUUUUCAAAGAGAGUUUGGACCAUGUGAUCCUUGGGAUCUCUGCAGUCAUGAAUUCUGUGACCCCUCACAGUGCUGGCAAGCCCAAAGACCAGGUAACACAUAUAAUGGCCACAAGCAGCUAAGAUACUUCCAAAAUAUAAAAGGAGGUUUCUGUUUACCAUUUUCAGCAUUAAAUUAUAAUUUCUCUGUGUCUUUGCCUUUUACUGCCUGAUUCCUGUGGGGUCAAAGGUCAUGGCAGAGGUGCUGGUACACCACAUCCACAUAAUAUAUGGGAAUAUAUGAGGAAGAAAUAUAGGAAGGAUCCACAUAAUAGAA
This 1794-nucleotide long non-coding RNA is filed under the name Cyanistes caeruleus (blue tit). Its description in RNAcentral is "lncRNA (ENSCCEG00000018318.1)". The record is from RNAcentral. Lineage: Eukaryota; Metazoa; Chordata; Aves; Passeriformes; Paridae.